RNAcentral lists this long non-coding RNA (882 nucleotides) under Agrilus planipennis (emerald ash borer). RNAcentral's name for it is "uncharacterized LOC108742008, transcript variant X5". The record is from RNAcentral. Lineage: Eukaryota; Metazoa; Arthropoda; Insecta; Coleoptera; Buprestidae.
GGGAUGUAGAAAGAGUCCUACGUGAGGACAAUAUGGGCAGAAAUAAUCGGGUCUAAGACUGUCAUAAUCUCAUGAGGGAUGUAGAAAGAGUCCUACGUGAGGAGAAUAUGGGCAGAAAUAAUCGGGUCUAAGACUGUCAUAAUCUCAUGAGGGAUGUAGAAAGAGUCCUACGUGAGGAGAAUAUGGGCAGAAAUAAUCGGGUCUAAGACUGUCAUAAUCACAUGAGGGACGUAGAAAGAGCCUCACGCAAGGACAAUAUGGUCAGAAACACCGGGUCUAAGACUGUCAUAAUCACAUGAGGGACGUAGAAAGAGCCUCACGCAAGGACAAUAUGGUCAGAAACACCGGGUCUAAGACUGUCAUAAUCACAUGAGGGGCGUAGAAAGAGCCUCACGCAAGGACAAUAUGGUCAGAAACACCGGGUCUAAGACUGUCAUAAUCACAUGAGGGGCAUAGAAAGAGCCCCUCGCAAGGACAAUAUGGUCAGAAACACCGAUGAGCAUUUUGCACCCUUCACAUUUAAAAUCUUCUUGUUUUUACUUUUAUUUUAAUUAAGCAAUAUUUAAAAUUUAGUGUUUCUCUUAUUAUAGGGUCUAAGACUGUCAUAAUCACAUGACGGGCGUAGAAAGAUCCCCACGCAAGGACAAUGUGGUCAGAAACACCGGGUCUAAGACUGUCAUAAUCGCAUGAGGGACGUCGAAGGAGCCCCACGUAAGGAUAAUAUGGACAGGAAUAACCGUUGAACAUUUUGCACCCUUUAUUUUUAAAAUCUUCUUACUUUUACUUUUAUUUUAACUAAGCAAUAUUGAAAGCUUAGUUUCUCCUUUCCUAAAGGGUCUUAGACUGUCAUAAUCUCAUGAGGGAUGUAGAAAGAGUCCUACG